RNAcentral lists this ribosomal RNA (385 nucleotides) under Mesorhizobium sp. RNAcentral describes it as "bacterial SSU rRNA". It matches the Rfam family "Bacterial small subunit ribosomal RNA", at positions 1 to 389 of the family's 1533-position model. Lineage: Bacteria; Pseudomonadati; Pseudomonadota; Alphaproteobacteria; Hyphomicrobiales; Phyllobacteriaceae. The record is from RNAcentral.
AAUUGAAGAGUUUGAUCAUGGCUCAGAUUGAACGCUGGCGGCAGGCCUAACACAUGCAAGUCGAGCGGUAGAGAGGUGCUUGCACCUCUUGAGAGCGGCGGACGGGUGAGUAAUGCCUAGGAAUCUGCCUGGUAGUGGGGGAUAACGCUCGGAAACGGACGCUAAUACCGCAUACGUCCUACGGGAGAAAGCAGGGGACCUUCGGGCCUUGCGCUAUCAGAUGAGCCUAGGUCGGAUUAGCUAGUUGGUGGGGUAAUGGCUCACCAAGGCGACGAUCCGUAACUGGUCUGAGAGGAUGAUCAGUCACACUGGAACUGAGACACGGUCCAGACUCCUACGGGAGGCAGCAGUGGGGAAUAUUGGACAAUGGGCGCAAGCCUGAUCC